Gossypium raimondii (Peruvian cotton) is the source of this 698-nucleotide long non-coding RNA. RefSeq lists it as uncharacterized. The record is from RefSeq and is a predicted model, not a curated record. Lineage: Eukaryota; Viridiplantae; Streptophyta; Magnoliopsida; Malvales; Malvaceae. The transcript is spliced from 5 exons.
CCAAAUCCCCUAUCUGUCGAAAUCCCUAAUUCUUUUUUUUAUCUGCGAUUUCUUACAUGCAAUUCUUCAAUUGAAAAGCUUCAGUGUUUCGGUGUUUCGGUUUCUUGCAAACUUAUAAGGAAAAGCUUCAUUGUUUCGAUUUCUUGCAAACUUACAUAACCCACACAAAGAAGACGGAGAAGGUGGCCAAACAUUCAGAUUCUGUCAUCGGGGGAAUCGGUAUUUAAGGGUUUUUGAUCGUUUCAUUUUUCUUCAUCGUCGUGAAGUGCACCAUUGGCAUCCACUCUUUUAUGGGAACGAGAUUUCAGUUCCUCCGAGGAGUUGAUUACAGAAUUUUGUCGAGAAUGCAGGAUAGUUAACAAAGGGUUGAAUGGGGAUCUAAAAAAUGCAAUGAAAGAUGGAAAACCAAUUAUAAUCGAGACAUGUUCGUAGGGAUGCAACACAUGAGGGAGAGAGUUCUUUUUUCUUUGGACUAUUUUUGAUGAAAAAGAAGAAGAAAGGAGAUGGUGUUGUAGUUGUAUGCUUGGGCAUUUUAUUAGUUUGAUAUUUUGAGAUAAUUUUGAUUAUGCAUCAACAUAGUGGUAGUUUUGAUUAUACUUUAAUGUGAUAUAUUUAUGCUUGAUAACUCCGAUGAUGCAUCUAAAAAUGACUUCUUAUUGGACUCAAUACUAAAUGCUAGUUUCUUUUUAGUUUAUUGG